Molecule: long non-coding RNA, 940 nt
Organism: Chenopodium quinoa (quinoa)
Lineage: Eukaryota; Viridiplantae; Streptophyta; Magnoliopsida; Caryophyllales; Amaranthaceae
Exons: 6
Source: RefSeq, a predicted model, not a curated record
GGUGCUAACUUACUAUUAGUGAAUGACAGGAUAAUACAGCUUAUUAGCGCACCUCAUCAACGCUUCUUCAUUUUUCAGGCACCGAGUUCUUGAGUCUAACCCUAGAGUCACUGCUCACAACUGAAAAAACCCCCAAUUCUCUAUCUUCCUCUCUCAUCUAUUCACUUUCUCCAUCAAUCUGCCUCUGCAACCGUCACCAUCGCACAUAUCGCCGGAUUCCUUGUACACCGACGCCGGCGCAAAUUCCUCUAUAUUGUCCUUCCAGCAAAAUGAUGUUGAUUGUGGAUAAGAUGUGAUGCAAUUCAGGAAAAAAAUCAAUUCACAUAAGCCCCUUAAACUUGUUGAACUUGUAACUUUGUGGUGGUGCGUGUAGGUAUUGGCAGCAGCGCCAGUUUGGUGGUGAUCAGACUAUUGUAAGUGAAUUGGACUCCUAGUGAUAGUGAAUGUGAAGAAUUAGACUGGGAAGAAGAGCAUAUUAGGUGACAUCCAAUGACUCUGGUGUUUGUAUUCAACCACCGCUACAACCAUUGUGCGAUCAAAUUAAACACUCUAGGGAACGAGAGUUUGAAGGAAUGAGGAAUCAAAUCGAGGAAUACACAUCAUAGAGGCAGAGGAGCAUAACCUUGCAAUCAGGGAAUAAGAAGCAAAUGCCACCUUGAAGGGACAAUAUAUGGAUAAACUUGAGGAAUAUAAAAAGGAGUUGAGAUAAACCCCGACAAAGUCUACUUGAAGGUUGUAGGUGGGCAAAAGAAUAGAAAAGUUUAUGGUUUAGGGAGUGCUUCACAAAUUUACUACAAGAACGAUCCUACUUCUCACCUUACUGCAUAAUGUAUAUCAUCAUUAGUUCUUAUUUGUCAUGUUAGAGUUGAUUUUUGAAACAAUUAGUGUUAUGGUUACUAAUAUUGUUUUCUAAUAUAUUGAUACAAAAUUGAUGAUGAUA